GAUGAACGCUGGCGGCGUGCUUAACACAUGCAAGUCGAACGGUGAAGCUCCAGCUUGCUGGAGUGGAUCAGUGGCGAACGGGUGAGUAACACGUGAGCAACCUGCCCCUGACUCUGGCAUAACAGCCGGAAACGGCUGCUAAUACCGGAUAUGCACCAUGAACGCAUGUUCUGUGGUGGGAAAGAUUUUUCGGUUGGGGAUGGGCUCGCGGCCUAUCAGCUUGUUGGUGAGGUAAUGGCUCACCAAGGCGUCGACGGGUAGCCGGCCUGAGAGGGUGACCGGCCACACUGGGACUGAGACACGGCCCAGACUCCUACGGGAGGCAGCAGUGGGGAAUAUUGCACAAUGGGCGAAAGCCUGAUGCAGCAACGCCGCGUGAGGGAUGACGGCCUUCGGGUUGUAAACCUCUUUUAGCAGGGAAGAAGCGAGAGUGACGGUACCUGCAGAAAAAGCGCCGGCUAACUACGUG
Molecule: ribosomal RNA, 469 nt
Filed under: uncultured bacterium
Lineage: Bacteria
Description: partial 16S ribosomal RNA
Rfam family: Bacterial small subunit ribosomal RNA
Source: RNAcentral